UUACGACCAGAUCGCGUUGAAACACAGCCUCUCGUACGAUGACAGAAGUUAAGCAACGUCGAGCUUGGUCAGUACAUUAAUGCGUAGCCGCUUGGGAAUAGUAGGUGCUGUAA
This is a non-coding RNA of Acanthosepion pharaonis, 113 nucleotides long. Lineage: Eukaryota; Metazoa; Mollusca; Cephalopoda; Sepiida; Sepiidae. The record is from the annotation of a GenBank genome assembly.